This is a long non-coding RNA of Gymnodraco acuticeps, 1257 nucleotides long. RefSeq lists it as uncharacterized. NCBI's taxonomy places the organism in Eukaryota, Metazoa, Chordata, Actinopteri, Perciformes, Bathydraconidae. The transcript is spliced from 3 exons. The record is from RefSeq and is a predicted model, not a curated record.
AAUAACAAUUAAGUCUUUCAGAUGUUGAGGUGCUGCUGGAGAAAAAGACUAUCAAAAUGAAUUAAAAAAGCAUCUUCACACUCAAAUCUGUACACAUCUUUUUAAAAAGCAAGUUUUAGUCACAGACCGUUUUCAAGCAAGAAUAACAAAAAAGUUGUAAACUUUUCAUUUAAUUUCCCUUUGAAAACUAAUGAACAUUGCAUGAAAAUUAACACAGCUCUCCUGAAUCUUUUUAUGAAUCGCUGCCUGCUGUUUGUGACCGUGUGCAGUUCACAAAGCACGGAAAACCGUGGUGAGAAUGAGUAUCAAGUCCAGCGCAAACAUGGAGGAUCCAGCCUGCAGUGCUGAACUGCAGCGGCAGUGAUGGAAACAGGACUGCGGGAGGAAAAUGAUCACCCGUCUCCUUCAGUUGCAGGCAGCACUUGCUAAAAAGGGAGUGACAGACUUCAAACUGACCUGGAAGAAACUGCCAGUGAAGCGCACAUGACAGAGCAAUGACAGGAUUAAAAGAUUCUAGUUGAUGCUGUGAGAGUAACUCCCAGAAAAAUGCACCACAACAUGGAGUUUACACAGCAUACCAAAUAUAAGGAUUACUAUCUGUAUUUCAUUAAGUUACUAUGGAAUAUGUUGUUGUGUUUCCCCUUUUGUAAUUAUGACUGAACUCAGAAAAGCUCAGUCUCACUUGUACAUGUUUCAGUUUUAAAUUAAUUUACAUUAAACUGUUGUGUUUUUCACUUCAUGUGUGACUUAGAGAUUAUUAUGAUUUAUAUAGUGACUUAUAAAUACUGUAUAAGCUCAGAAAUAUUCUUCAUAUCCAUUUAUUUUCUCACAUAAUACUUAAUGAUUUUUUUGGUAACUUGCACCAAAGGUUGGUGGUUCAAUCCUUGGUCUGAUAUAAAAUGCCGAAGGGUCUUUGGAAAAGUUACUCAACCCCAACUUGCUAGUUGGUGGCAUUUCGAUUGUUUAGCCUCUGCCACCAGUAUAUUUAACCACCUUCAUAAAUCAAUAUAAGUGCCCAUCACCACUUCAGCUUGCCUGCUGUCAGCCCUUUCUGAUGAAGCAAUGUCUAGGCUCCAUUGAAUAAAACAGUAAUUCAGUGCAUUUGCAUCCAUGGGCGAACAAAAAAAAAAAGAAUUGCUAAUGUUUUAUGUUUAAUACAACAAAAUGACAAGUUUAGCAAACACCCAGAGGGUCCUAUGAGUAAUACUUAAAGGUAUAUUUAUGUAUUGUAUUUAUCCCUGUUUUAAUUGUGUACUU